CCCUUUGUCUCUCUCUCGCUCUCAACAGAAAAAGCACUUUAAAAAAGAAAGUAGUUUGGUUUUCUUUUUACAAUAUUUAUUACAAGUAAGGGUCCUUCUUAAUGAUGGCACCUAGAAAGUCUUGGCAGUGAAAGUUUGUGGCUUGAGGUUAGGGUGGUCUUCUUGUGGUUUGUGGUCUUCAAUUGUCUUCUUUUAUGUUCCUUUUAAUAACAGUUAUGCAAAAAUAUGAGAUUUAUGAUUCUAGAUUCAUUUCGUUUGGAUUUCCAUGGGCUUUUGGAUACGUACAUUGAUGAUGCACCUAUAUCCUGUAUCUGGACUUCUUGGAAAAGGUCAGAUGAGAUUGUGAUUGUCUGUGAUUCUUGCUCUGGUAGUGUUAUGGGUCCUCAGAUGACUUGAGUAUUUAUAAAAUUGUAGUGGGAUUUUUCUUGUACAGUUUUCUUUUCAUGCUCAGGAUACAGUUCACGAUGCGUGCCACUUUUCUUAGCAAGGCACCUCUCUGAGAAGAAACCAGGUAUUCAGUAGUUUUUUUGGAAUGAUUGCCUCUGUAAGAAC
Non-coding RNA from Pelobates cultripes (western spadefoot toad), 552 nucleotides. The record is from the annotation of a GenBank genome assembly. Lineage: Eukaryota; Metazoa; Chordata; Amphibia; Anura; Pelobatidae.